GAUGAACGCUAGCGGCAGGCUUAACACAUGCAAGUCGAGGGGUAACAUUGGUGCUUGCAUCAGAUGACGACCGGCGCACGGGUGCGUAACGCGUAUAGGACCUACCUUUUACUAAGGGACAGCCUUUAGAAAUGAAGAUUAAUACCUUAUAGUAUUAUUGAUUGGCAUCAAUUAAUAAUUAAAGAUUUAUUGGUAAAAGAUGACUAUGCGUUCUAUUAGUUAGUUGGUGAGGUAACGGCUCACCAAGACAGCGAUAGAUAGGGGUCCUGAGAGGGAGAUCCCCCACACUGGUACUGAGACACGGACCAG
RNAcentral lists this ribosomal RNA (309 nucleotides) under uncultured bacterium. RNAcentral's name for it is "bacterial SSU rRNA". It matches the Rfam family "Bacterial small subunit ribosomal RNA", at positions 28 to 334 of the family's 1533-position model. The record is from RNAcentral.